RNAcentral lists this long non-coding RNA (23589 nucleotides) under Phaseolus vulgaris (common bean). Its description in RNAcentral is "long non-coding RNA (PVUL_LNC002039)". Lineage: Eukaryota; Viridiplantae; Streptophyta; Magnoliopsida; Fabales; Fabaceae. The record is from RNAcentral.
CAACAACUUUCAAAUUGAAAAACCAACUCUUUCUUAUUCACAUAUCUUUUCAAUUCCCUUUUCCCUUUCGCAUUUUUCACCGACAGUUCUGCUUUUGUCUCAGCUCUCACAAACUUCAAUAACAAUGAAGGUCAGUGUUUUAAUUUCAGCUCAUAAUUAUUUUCAGAUAUUCACACUUUGAUACUCGUAAUUCAGUCUGUGUUUUUGUUUUGAUUGUUUAUGGUCUAAAUCAACUUUCAAAGUUAGUGUGUUGAGUAGUCCUAACAACUGUUUGAUUUUUGCUGAAACAGAAAGUUAUGUUGAAGGUGGAUGUACAGGAAGACAAAAUCAAGCAGAAAGCUAUGAAGGCUGUCUCUGGCAUUUCAGGUAUUCAAUUGAAAUUCAAUUUCUAGACUUCCUCAUCUCUUUAGCUUCUCUUCUUUCAAUGCUCUAAUCUAAUAAAAAAUGAAAACACAAAGGGGAAAAACAAUAGUAAUACAACAGAACUGAUUUUCUUUCAUUCAAUUCAGUGAAUUAGCUUGACUGAAACUGAUUUUUGUUUCAAAAAAUGAAGUCCAAAGAGUAUAGUAUGAAUGAUUCAUUGAUAUUUGGUGAUAUACUGAGAUUGUAUUUGAAAUACUGUUGCAGGUGUGAAGUCAGUUUCUGUGGACAUGAAAGACAAGAAAUUUACCUUAACAGGAGACAUUGAUUCAGUACAAGUAGUUGCCAAGCUAAGGAAGUUUUAUCACACAGGAAUAGUUUCUGUUGGACCGGCAAAAGAGGAAAAAAAUGAAGAACCUAAAAAAAAAAAAAACUUUUUGAUGCAUGCAUAUAUUCAGACAAUGUCUAAUUAAUAAUUAAACAUUUAAUGACAAAAAGGUUGUCAGAUAAUGUUUAAUGAUUAUAAUACUGUAUAUUUAAAAUUUAUAUAUCUAUAAUAAUAAAUAAAAGAAUUCUCUUACUGUACAUAUUUUAUAGUUUUUUUAAUUAUAUUUUAAAUCCUUUAAAAAGUUAUAAUAACAUAUAAAAUGAUACAUAUUUAAUAAUUACAUUUUACUUUUAAUUAUACUUGAAAAUUUAAAAAAUAAAUUAUAUAAAUAUUUAAAAAAUAUCGUAUAACUUUGCAUGUAAUUAUUAUUAUUAAUAUUAUUUUUCAGUGAUAUACGAAGAAUUCUUUUCUCUUUCACCUCAUAACUCUCCUAACACCAAUGCUUCAAUAUCUAACCAAUUUUUAAUUUUUAUUUAUAUAAGAACUAUUUGAGGAUAAAAAGGCUUACUAGUUAAAGAAAUUGGGUUAAACUACUAUUUAAAAGAAUAAAUUAUAACAAGUGAAAUAGGCAAUUAACGUCAAUAAAAAACUAAAGAUUAAAUUGAACCAAAAUUAAAAAUAUUAAAUAUCUUAUUUCUAUUUGUACUAGUAUGGGUCAAACGGUCAAUACCAUGUCUUCACUCUCACAUCCGGGUCGACCGUGUUAGAAUAUAUGACCUUAAACAAGAGGGGUGAAUUGUUUAAAAGAGAUUUUCGUAAACUUUUAAGCCUAGAAUGAAAAUACUUCAAGAAAACCUUGAUUAAGAAAUCAGUUUUUCAAAACAUAAAGCAAAAGCACAACACUGGAAAAACAAUCGGUUGUUUUACCGAAACAAUCGGUUGUUUAUACCAGUUAUCAAAUAACAAAACUGAAUUUAAAGAGAUAGGGAUAGAGAGAUUGUACACAGAUGUUUAUACUGGUUCACUCCAAACCCAGAGCUACAUCCAGUCUUCUCAGAAACCUUGAGGAAAUCCACUAAGCAAUCACAACUUGAUCACUUACACAACAACCAAGAGAAUGACCUUGAACACCUCAAGAAACACACUCUCCUUGGCCAACACACCAACACCAAGAUUGCUGAUCUUGACCCCCUCAAGAACACACAACCAAUCUUAGCAAACACAGAAACAAAACUUGUUUUUACAGAGUACAAGGAUUACACUUGUUACAGAAGAUAAUCUGAAAUCAAUACAAGCAGAAUCCUAUUCCACAAACUUUGAUCAAUCAAAAACUCUAAGCAAUCUCAGCUCUUUGAAAAACUCAAAAACUCUUAGUGAAAACUUGUCAAAGAUUAAUUCUCAAAUCUGUUAUUCUGAAUUUAUUCAAAGAUGUAGUUUGUUAUCAAAUCUUAACAAACUCUUAAAUUGCAUUAAAAGAUUGGUCAAAGCAUUUAAUGACUGGAGCGUAAGCAAUUAAACCAUUUAAAGCUCAGUCAAAGAUAAAACAGUUUUUCUGUUAUGGUCCCAAAACAAACAAUCGGUUGUUUCCUCGAAUCAAUCGUUUGUUUUGGUUCUUAACAGUUCAACCAUUUGAAAAACAGUUUUCAAUCUUUUUCUCAAAACACCUAAGUAUAAACAAUCGGUUGUUUCGACAAAACAAACGGUUGUUUUAACUUGGUUUGAAAACAUUUUACUUUCACAAAGAUUGAGAUGCUUAUGCUUUAGAUUUAAUCAAAGGGUGGAUUACAAAGCUCAAACUACCCCAGAACUAUACUAAACCAGCACAGCAACACCAAGCACAGCAAAGGCUUCAACAUCCUUCAAAGGAUUUGGAUUCUUCAAAGCUUGAACACCACUUGGUUCAACAGACCGAACAUUCCACGUCCGUAACAUUCCUAAACAGACCAAUGCUUUCGGUCUAAUUACGCUCAAUCAAGAUCAGUGAAGUUAAGUCAUUAUUAAGAACUAGGUAACACACCUCUAAACACGAUCCACCUCACUAAUCUGACCCAACAAGGUAGGUCCAUUAAAAUAAUAUAAAUAGCGUACAUUCUAAGAAGUUGAUACGUCAUUUAUUAUUGUAUUCUGACACUAAGUGUCGAACCCCCUUUGUUGAAUAUGUUAAAAAAUGCAUCAAAUGUCAAGAGUUUGCUUCUUACACCAUGCAAAACCAGAAGUGUUGCAUAGCCUGACAUCCCCAUGGCCAUUUGCUGUAUGGGAGAUGAACAUCAUCGGCCCCUUCGCACCAAGAAAAGGUCAAAUAGAAUUCUUCCUCGCUGGAGUCGACUACUUCACUAAAUGGAUCGAGGCCGAGCCACUCGCAUCCCAUCUUCGCCAAGAAUGUGCAAAAUUUUGUAUGACGAAGUAUUGUGUGUUAGUUCGACAUACCUAACACAACAAUAACAAACAACGAUCGGCAGUUCAUCGACAAGGGGCUCCAAUCCUUCUAUAACGACCUCGGUAUCAAGUUUAUUACAGCCUCGGUCAAACACCCCCAAACCAACGAGCAAGCCGAGGCUGCCAACAAGGUCAUUCUAAAUGAACUGAAGAAGCGGCUCAACAAAGCGAAGGGUCGAUGGACUGAAGAACUGAUAGAAGUCCUAUGGCCGUACUAAUGCACCCCCAGACAACCACACAAGAAACUCCGUACAACCUGACGUACGAGACCGAAGCAAUGAUCCCGGUCGAGGUAGGGGAGCCUACCGUCUGAAGACAGAUGUUCGACGUAACCCUCAAUGAGGAAAGCCUGUCGGUCAAUCUUGAUUUGGUCAACGAGCUCCGCGACAAGAGCAAAAUUUGGGAGGCAGCAUGUAAGCUUCAGGCGGCAAGACGCUACAACACCAAGGUCCGACCGAGGAGCUUCCAUAAAGGAGAUCUCGUUUGGAGAAUGAGAAGCGACACGGGAAGAAACGAAGGCAAAUUCUCAUCCAAUUGGGAAUGACUCUUCUGAAUCCGAGAAGUUGUAGUUGGGGGGAGGGGGGAGGGAGUGACUCUCGGGUAAAAUUGUACCGAGGACGUGGAAUGUCACGCACCUCAAAUUUUAUUACAGCUAAAUUAAUAAAGUUUACGCACUCUUUCCUCACCCAACUGUUUUUUCCUAAGGAGGAUUUUCAGUCAGGAAGGUUUUAAUGAGGCAGUUCUCUUCAACAAUAAUGAAUUUGCGCAUCUCAAACACUGGUUAGGUCUAGAUGAAGUCUUAAUCGGCAUACCUGCCGACACUUCGUAACUUGGUUUGAUCUGGAUGAAACCUUGACAGGCAUACCCAACCAACACCUUACAUAUUCGGUUCGGUCUGGAAGAAGCAUUAAUCGACAUACCAUGUCGACACCUCAUAACUUGGUGUGGUCUAGAUGAAGCCUUGACAGGUAUACCCUACCAACACCUUACACAUUCGAUUCGGUCUGGAUGAAGCCUUAAUCGACAUAUCAUGCCGACACCUCAUAACUUGGUGUGAUCUAGAUGAAGCCUUGACAGGCAUACCAUGCCAACACCUUACACAUUCGGUUCGGUCUGGAUGAAGCCUUAAUCGGCAUACCCUGCCGACACCUCACAACCUUGGUUGCAUCAAAACCAAGCCUAAACUUUAAAAGAACUACAAGCGAAGGCCGACCAUCUAUUUAACUUGUUCAAAUUUUUUAUUGUCCAGAUAAUUUACCGGCCGUUAGCUUAACAUGUUAAUUUCUCUUUAAUCAAUUACUUAUUCGACCGAGCAUUUACAAUAUUCAAAGAAAGCGACUGAUUCAUUAAUAAAAGAUGGGGAGGAAGGCCACACCCCCGCCUCAGAAGAAGUACAAAAGGGCCACACCCCGACCGAAGGGAACAACAACUCAAAACCUAAGUCUACUGGUCUUCACCUUCAGCUCCCCUGGUCGGUGCAGGCUGAUCCUUCGUCGUGACCGCCAACGCACUCGCCUCGGAAGGAUCGAAGUUGCUAGACAUUGGCGGCCCCCAUACAACAUAUUGGCCUGGAAGAAGCUCUGCUUGAGCAGCUCCAAGGUCUGGUCAAAGUUGCGGUCCAGCUCCGCCUUGACCUCUUCCUUAGCAGCCUCCAAGCGAGUAACCUCGGAAUUCAGCACUGAGAUCUUGCCUUCACCUUCCCCCACCAUCUUCUUCAAUCAAACCACCACGGUCGCCAUCUCUACUGCCCGGCUCUCAGCCUCAGCCACUUCGUGCUGAGCCUUCUCCCUCUCGGCAACCUCCCGAGCAAGCUUCUCCGCAUACUAAAAGUUAGCAGCGAGAGUUUGCUUCAAACUGCCCGAAGCUUCGGAUAGCUCAUGCUCCAGCCUGGAUAUCUCCUCGAUGAGGCAGUCUCGGUCCUGAGAACCCAGAUGGACCAUGACCAGGGCGCGACACAACAUCUCCACGCUACCCUUCAACAAAUCCGUCGUUGGAAAGGCCUGAAGGACCUCCCAGGUCGGCCCAGGGAACGCAACCUUCACCCCUCGAGAAAAUUGCAUGUCACCCUCAACACCGUCAAGGGUGACAUGGUGACCUCCAGAGCACGUUUGGUUGCGGGAGGGGCGAUUGGUUGGUUGAACUCAUCCGUCAGCGGCGAGUCAACAUCAAUAGGGGAACGGCGAGGAGGAGGUGUCGGUAGGGACCCAAGUGAGCGAGUUGUUGUUGUUAUGUUAUUCGAUUCCCUUGGCCUCUUAUUGGACUUGCCAAAAGGGUCAACUGACCCCAUACCAGCUCAGCCAGCUGAUCCCUUACCGGCAUCUAGGAUUUUGACACUGGGUUGACCCUUUCAUUGGGUGGCCCUAUCCUUGAAAGUAUCGAGCAUGUCACUCGCCUGAGGACAAUCCCGAUUCAUGAGUUCUGUAAAGAAAAGCAAAGUGUUAGUUAGAAUCAAAAAUAUCGACCAAGGGUAAAUGAAACUAGCAUACCCUUAAUAGCCGCCCAGCGCAAUGACUUCGCAUGCACGCCAACUAACUUUCGCGUAGGAAGCUUCCUUGGGAGCAUAUCGAAGAGCGAGAGAAUCUCUAGCUCUUCGAUACCCCCGACCGGUCGAGGCCACUCCUUGAAGUCACGAGGCUUCUUGGUCCAAUACAAGGGAAACCUCAAUCGAUCGAUUUCAUCAAAGAAAUAAGACGUCGCCUCUGGCCGGAAUACAAACUUUAAAAAAUAUCUCUUUGAAUUUUUUAUAAGAGGUAGCGAAGGAAUUGAAAAUGACAUUACCCGACCGACUGAUCAGUGAAGGCCACAAAACAGGGUUGGCCGAGUGAGAAGUAUAAUAGCUGAGGGAAUAAGAAGGGGUAGGGUGGAAAUGCAGAACGUCACAUAUCAAGCGAAAGGCCUAGAUGAACACCCAGGUAUUCGGGUGAAGUUGGGUAGGCGCCACAUUGAGCGUCUGAAGGACACCCAUCGUGAAACUAUCAAAAGGAAGAGAAACAUGCAAGUCUGAUAAAAGACAUGAGUACUUGUAGAAAAAAAGGGGGACUAGUAGCAGGCCGACCCAUGCACACGUUCUCGGUCGGCAAGCAGAGCUCAACACUAAAGAAACUCGAAUGCGCAUCCGCCUUCAGAACUGUGUACCUCCCCAAAAACUUGGCGACAGAUUCCUCGUUUGAGAAGGUGGAGGCGAUCCCAGUCACCUUAGAAUUUGCCCAACCAAAAUUCAUUCGGGAGAUGACUUGCUUGGGGCAGCCCGACCGAUCGAUAACAUUGGCCAGGUUGUCUCCCCUGACCAUCUCUACAGGGUGCGGUACGUCAACCGCACUGACCGAUAUGGAAUCAGUCAUAGAGGAACCGAAAGACAAAUUCGAAGACGAAGAAGAGGGAUGCACGAGAAUAGGAGAAGGAGUAGCCGAAGAAGAAGAAAUAGGCCGAGACAAGGAAGGCAUAACUAACCUUAUAAAAAGCCGAAAUACCAAAACACAACAAGAAGAAGAGGAAACGCUCGGCUCUUAGAGCAAAUAUCAGAGAGAUAGCACAAUAUCUCGACAUUGUUGGGAUCGCUAUUUAUAGCCUCCAAGGGCCUCGAGAGACGAAGCGUCACAACGAUCCCAACCGUUAGAUCUUCCAGAUCCAACGGUUCUCAACGCUUCGCGCCCAAAAAACCCUUCAUUAAUGCAGGUUACAUCACGUGCGCAAGCGCCGCCUGAAGUCACGUCAGGCCUUGUGAACUCCAACAGUCACAUUAAACUCAAAAGACCGACCGACACUCAUCAUUCAAAACUCUUCAGAUCAAAUUAUCCUCGAGCCUAGGGGGUAAGUGUACUGGUGUGGGUCGAACGGUCAAUACCAUGUCUCGGCUCCUACAACCGGGACGACCGAACAUUCCACGUUCGUGUGGGCUGAUUGAUGCUUUCGGUUCAAUUACACUUAAUCAAGAUCAAUGAAGCUAAUUCAUCAUUAAGAACUAGGUAAUACACCUCUAAGCACAAUCCACCUCACUAAUCCGACCCAACAAGGUAGACCCAUUAAAAUCAUAUAAAUAACGCACAUUCCAAGAAGUAGGUACGUCAUUUAUUAUUGUACUCUGACACUUGAGUGUCGAACCUCAUUUGUUGACUUAAGCGUCGGAGUGUCUUCUGUAGGUACCCUCCAUCGGUAUUCUCUAGAAGACCGAGUGAUCGAGCAGCUGAGCUUGAAGGAGUAACAAAAAUUUGAAAGAGAAAACUGAAACAUAGAUCAACCGUCCGAUAGAAAAGAGGAAAACAAAGUUUUUCAAUAGUUCUAUCUCCUUAAGAGUAACACUGUCUUUAAUGAAUCGAUUUUUUAAAAAAAAUUUAUUUGACGUUUAGAAAUAAUUUAGAUAAAUUUUACAAUUUGUUUAUAGUGACGCAAAUUACUGUGGUCUUGUCAAUCAUGGUGACGGUAUAUUAUGAAUGAUUGGAUUGACGCGGAUUCGAACAUGCAACGAAAGCCGUCUUCAUCAUUAAGAUGUCUCAACUCAUUUUCUUACCUAUCGAUCCAAACACGAACUAACGUCACGCUUUCUGCAAAACUUUCCUCGCCUUAUUUUUCAAUACUUUCUCCUACAUUAUUCACCCUACCCUACAUUCUCAAAUAAACAAUUAUAACCCAAUUUAUAUAAAAUUUUAAAUAUGUAUAAUUAUCAAUAAAGUUCAAAAAUAAAUUUAAAGAAAAAGUCAUAUAAGCUCAAAACUUAAAUACUGUUCUGGAAUUUAAAGACUGGAAUAUACGUGUCUUUUCUAUAUUUUUUAAUAUUUUUCAAUUAUUAAGAUUUAAAAAAAAAUAGUUUCACUACUUUUAACAUUCUUUAAAGAACAAUAUAAUAUAGUGUUUUGAUAUAAUAUAGUGUUUUGAUAAAUGGACGGUGAAGGUGAUCAAGUUGAAGAUAUUCAAACUAGUAAAAUAAAAUUUUAAAAAAGUAUUUAUAACUGUUAGAUAAAAAAAAUAAUAAGGUGUUUUCAAAAUUAAAUUAAACAGUGUAAACGAGCUAGUAGCAUUUUUAACUUUUGUGCAAGUACAAAAUAUGACAUUAAGAAACAGAACUUUUGACGUAGAGAAAGGAAAAGCAAACCAACCAUUUGCGUAGACUUGACUUGGUCCAGCUUCUCUCACGAGUCACAACCAUCCACUAUAUAUAUGCUCCUCAAGCUUAUCUUCAUAUUACAACAAUUUUCAAAUUGAAAAACCAACUCUUGCUCAUUCACAUAUCUUUUCAAUUCCCUUUUCCCUUUCGCAUUUUUCAACGACAGUUCUGCUUUUGUCUCAGCUCUCACAAACUUCAAUAAGAAUGAAGGUCAGUGUUUCAAUUUCAGCUCAUAAUUAUUUUCAGAUAUUCACACUUUGAUACUCGUAAUUCAGUCUGUGUUUAGUUUUGAUUGUUUAUGGUCUAAAUCAACUUCCAAAGUUAGUGUGUUGAGUAGUCCUAACAACUGUUUGAUUUUUGCUGUAACAGAAAGUUGUGUUGAAGGUGGAUGUACAUGAAGACAAAAUCAAGCAGAAAGCUAUGAAGGCUGUCUCUGGCAUUUUAGGUAUUCAAUUGAAAUUGAAUUUCUGAACUUUCUCAUCUCUUUAGCUUCUCUUCUUUCAAUGCUCUAAUCUAAUAAAAAAUGAAAAGACAAAGGGGAAAAACAAAAAAAAAAAUAUAGUAAUACACUAGAGCUGGUUUUCUUUCACUCAAUUCAGUGAAUUAGCUUGACUGAAACUGAUUUUUGUUUCAAAAAAUGAAGUCCAAAGAGUAUAGUAUGAAUGAUUCAUUGAUAUUUGGUGAUAUACUGAGAUUGUAUUUGAAAUACUGUUGCAGGUGUGGAGUCAGUUUCUGUGGACAUGAAAGACAAGAAAUUGACCUUAACAGGAGACAUUGAUCCAGUACAAGUAGUUGCCAAGCUAAGGAAGUUUUGUCACACAGAAAUAGUUUCUGUUGGACCGGCAAAAGAGGAAAAGAAGGAAGAACCUAAAAAGGAUGAUAAAAAGAAGGAAGAUGUGAAGAAAGAUUCUGCAAAAGAAAUGGUUGUAGAUCCACUCAAGUUCCAUGAAGCAUAUCCAUAUUAUUAUCAGAUGAAACCACAAUACAAUCCAUAUUACAGUGCCGUAAGUGUGGAAGAGGAUCCUAAUGGCUGUGUCAUUGUCUAAUUUUAUUAUAACUAAGUUGGAUUUAAAAAAUGAAUAAAAAGAAAAAUAUUGUAUUUAUUUUUUUCCUGUGUCUUCUAAUGAGGGAUAGCUGACCAAGCCAAUGAAGGUAUUAUGAUGUAAAUGAAUAAAAUUUUCUUGGUUUCAUACAUAAAGCUUCUGCAGAAUCUUGAUAUCCACACAUUAAAAUAUCAGUUACCAAAUAAACUAUCAAAUGCAGUGUGAUAUUUUUCUUUUCAAACAAACAAAAGAAUGGAGUUAAAUAUUUUUCUUUCCAAAUCUUUGUUUUUAAUUCAACAAAAAAAGCACAGCGUUUAGUGAAACUCUUGAUAAGAGAAAGUUUUAUUAACAUUCUAGAAUUAUUUGGUGAAUUUGGAACCAACACAGUUAGUUAGCUGCAUUGUGUGUGAUAGAGUGUGGUAUUUUGUGGAGGAAUGCAAUGAAUCCUUAAAGACAUUUAAUGCAUGAAAGGUUGUAACUUUAUGAUAUUUUAUGAUAUUUAUAUACUAAUGUUCGUUAAGAUUAAUUAUAAUCUUAAAUAUGAUAAUGAUAAUCAUUUAUAACAUUUUCAGAACUUAUCCAAUGUAACUUACAUAAGCUGUUCCAUGUAUAUUAAAAAGUGUAGUUUCUUAUCUAUGUUAGGUCACAUUAUUAUUAAGCAACAAUUUUAUUUUAUUUUAUUUUAAUAAAGAAUUUUUUAAAAUUUUAAACAUAUCGCAAUUUUAUAUAUUUUAACUUAGACUUAAUUAUUGCAUAUGAUAAAUUUAUUGUUAUAAUAAAUAAAUAAAUUAUUUUUAAAAUUGAGUUAAUUAGAGAAGCAACAUAAACUUUUUUAAGCAACUUUGGAAUACCAAUGCAAAUAUUGUUUCAAGGGACAAAAGAAUCCUAAACAUCAAGCUCUUAGAUCUAUUUUAAAUGGACACAAAAAAAGUUUACUUAUAUAUAUAUAUGUGUGUGUGUAUUAAAAUUAAAAAUUAUGUGUGUGUGUAUUAAAAUUAAAAAUUAUAUGAUUUUGAUUAAAUUAUAGUUCUAAUGUUUAAUGUCAGAUAAUGUUUAUGUCAGAUAAUGUUUAAUGAUUAUAAUAUUGUAUAUUUAAAAUUUAUAUAUCUAUAAUAAUAAAUAAAAGAAUUCUCUUACUGUACAUAUUUUAUAGUUUUUUUAAUUAUAUUUUAAAUCUUUUAAAAAAGUUAUAAUAACAUAUAAAAUGAUACAUAUUUAAUAAUUACAUUUUAAUUUUAGUUAUACUUGAAAAUUAAAAAAAUAAAUUAUAUAAAUAUUUAAAAAUAUCGUAUAACUUUGCAUGUAAUUAUUAUUAUUAAUAUUAUUUUCAGUGAUAUACGAAGAAUUAUUUUCUCUUUCACCUCAUAACUCUCCUAACACCAAUGCUUCAAUAUCUAAACAAUUUUUAAUUUUUAUUUAUAUAAGAAUUAUUUGAGGAUAAAAAGGCUUACUAGUUAAAGAAAUUGGGUUAAACUACUAUUUAAAAGAAUAAAUUAUAACAAGUGAAAUAGGCAAUUAACGUCAAUAAAAAAUUAAAGAUUAAAUUGAACCAAAAUUAAAAAUAUUAAAUAUCUUAUUUCUAUUUGUACUAGUAUGGGUCAAACGGUCAAUAUCAUGUCUUCACUCUCACAUUUGGAUCGACCGAACAUCCCACGUCUGUGUGAGCCGACCAAUGCUUUCGGUCUAAUUAUGCUCAAUCAAGAUCAGUGAAGCUAAGUCAUCAUUAAGAACUAGGUAACACACCUCUAAACACGAUCCACAUCACUAAUCUGGCCCAACAAGGUAGGUCCAUUAAAAUAAUAUAAAUAGCGUACAUUCUAAGAAGUUGAUACGUCAUUUAUUACUGUACUCUGACACUAAGUGUCGAACCCCCUUUGUUGAAUAUGUUAAAAAAUGCAUCAAAUGUCAAGAGUUCGCUUCCUACACCAUACAAAACCAGAAGUGCUGCAUAGCCUGACAUCCCCAUGGCCAUUUGUCGUCUGGGAGAUGAACAUCAUCGACCCCUUCGCACCAAGAAAAUGUCAAAUAGAAUUCCUCCUCGUCGGAGUCGACUACUUUACUAAAUGGAUCGAGGCCGAGCCACUCGCAUCCCAUAUCCGCCAAGAAUGUGCAAAACUCUGUAUGACAAAGUAUUAUGUGUUGGUUCGGCAUACCUAACACAAUAAUAAAAAACAACAAUCGACAGUUCAUCGACCAGGGGCUCCAAUCCUUCUAUAACGACCUCGGUAUCAAGUUUAUUACAGCCUCGGUCAAACACCCCCAAACCAACGAGCAAGCCGAGGCUGCCAACAAGGUCAUUCUAAAUGAACUGAAGAAGCGGCUCAACAAGGCGAAGGGUCGAUGGACUGAAGAAUUGAUAGAAGUCCUAUGGCCGUACUAAUGCACCCCCCAGACAACCACACAAGAAACUCCGUACAGCUUGACGUACGGGACCGAAGCAAUGAUCCCGAUUGAGGUAGGCGAGCCUACCGUCCAAAGACAAAUGUUCGACGUAACCCUCAAUGAGGAAAGCUUGUCGGUCAAUCUUGAUUUGGUCAACGAGCUCCACGAUAAGAGCAAAAUUUGGGAGGCAGCAUGCAAGCUUCAAGCGGCAAGACGCUACAACACCAAAGUCCGACCGAGGAGCUUCCAUAAAGGAGAUCUCGUUUGGAGAAUGAGAAGCGACACGGGAAGAAACAAAGGCAAAUUCUCAUCCAAUUGGGAAUGACCCUUCCGAAUCCGAGAAGUUGUAAUUGGGGGGGGGGGGAUACCACUUAGAGUGACUCUCGGGUAAAAUUGUACCGAGGACGUGGAAUGUCACGCACCUCAAAUUUUAUUACAGCUAAAUUAAUAAAGUUUACGCACUCUUUCCUUACCCGACCAUUUUUUCCUGAAGAGGGUUUUCGGUCGGGAAGGUUUUAACGAGGCGGUUCUCUUCAACAAUAAUGAAUUUGCGCAUCUCAAACACUGGUUCGGUCUAGAUGAAGCCUUAAUCGGCAUACCUGCCGACACCUUGUAACUUGGUUUGGUCUGGAUGACGCCUUGACAGACAUACCCAACCAACACCUUACACAUUCGGUUCGGUCUGGAUGAAACAUUAAUCGACAUAUCAUGCCGACACCUCAUAACUUGGUGUGGUCUAAAUGAAGCCUAGACAGGUAUACCCUGCCAACACCUUACACAUUCGAUUCGGUCUGGAUGAAGCCUUAAUCGACAUACCCUGUCGACACCUGAUAACUUGGUAUGGUCUAGAUGAAGCCUUGAUAGGCAUACCCUGCCAACACCUUACACAUUCGGUUCGGUCUGGAUGAAGCCUUAAUCGGCAUACCCUGCCGACACCUCACAACCUUGCAUCAAAACCAAGCCUAAACUUUAAAAGAACUACAAACGAAGGCCGACCGCCUAUUUAACUUGUUCAAAUUUUUUAUUGUCCAGAUAAUUUACCGGCCGUUAGCUUAACUUGCUAAUUUCUCUUUAAUCAAUUACUUAUUCGACCGAGCAUUUACAAUAUUCAAAGAAAGCGAUCGACUCAUUAAUAGAAGAUGGGGAGGAAGGCCAAACCCCCGCCUCAGAAGAAGUACAAAAGGGUCACACCCCGACCGAAGGGAACAACAACUCAAAACCUAAGUCUACUGGUCUUCACCUUCAGCUCCCCCGGUUGGUGCGGGCUGCUCCUUCGCCGUGACCGCCAGCGCACUCGUUUCGGAAGGAUCGAAGUUGCUAGACAUUUGCGGGCCCCUGAUGAACAUAUAUUUAUUCACACUCACUAGCCUUAUUCAUAGAUUAUUGGACUAUAAUAAUAAAUAAAUCCAUUGUUUUAAUUAAUAUUCUUAUAAUUGGGUUUAUUUGGGCUUUAACUAUUAUUAUUGUUAAUUUUGUGUUUUUAGAGUAAAUUAUCCAGAGGAAGCAUCUACCUUUGUGAAUGGGCCAAAUAUGCAAAAGUCCAAGUUGCUUCUUAAACCAAAACAAGAAACAAAUUUUGAGGAGAAGAAAGAGAAAAUAAAAUCUACAAUAUCUCAGAAACAGAAUUGGAAGCAAAUCUUCUGCAAAAUACAAGAAUUCUGGAAAGAUGGAGACUUGGAAACGGUUAACAAAAUAUAAACUACAAUAUUUUCCCAAGAUCCUUGGAGCAGAAAAGCCUAUAAAAGGACACAAGCAUCAAGGAGAAAAGGGAGAGCUUCAUAGGGUUUUCUUAGUUUAUUUUCUUCUUUGUAAUUAUUUUGUUUUGCCUCCGCAUGGAAGACUAAACCUUUUUUAUUGGUUCCUCUGUAAUUUCCCAUUGAGCUCUGAGGUUUCGUUCAAUAAAAGUUUCUAUUUUUAAUUCUCUAUAGCAGUUGUUUUUAUUGUCUAAUCUCCUGGAAAACUAGUUUUUGUGAGAGGUUGUACUUGAACGCAUGAUUGAGAGUCUUCCUUAUCUUAAACUUUGGUUUCUUAGUUAGUUCGCAUUGUUCUAAUUAAUUUCUUGGUGCAUGAUUCAAGGGAGAGGAGGUAAGCAUUCCCAUGGUGUAUACGCAUGGAACAAAGUGGGUAUGGAUUAAACCAGUAGACGCAUGCUUUAGUGGUGAGUUUCAGUUGAAUCAGAUCGGCGCAUGUUCAAUCUGGUUUAGCUCUGUUGGAGGAUUGAGAAAAGAUUAUUCUUUAGAGAACCUGUGAAGAAUUCAAUGGUGGAAGAACUUGGGAUCAACCGCUUUUUAUUUGUUAUUUUAAUCUCUUUUAUAUUUUCUGCACAACUAUCCCAAACCCCCUUUUUAUCUUUAUUGUUAUUGCUAACUUUUAUUGCUUGCAGAUAGAUUUUAAACCCUGAUCAACUGAUUUUACUAUUGGAUUCGUUGGGAGACGACUUGGGAACAUUUGUCCACAAUUAUACUAUCAUAUCUCUAGUGUUAGACAAGUCCACGCUAGAAUCAUAUUAAUUUGACAGCAAAACGACAGCUAUCAACCCCCAAACAACACAUGGGCCUGUCGGACGGCCUGGAAGAAGCUAUGCUUGAGCAGCUCCAAGGUCCGCCUUGACCUCUUCCUUAGCAGCCUCCAAGCGAAUGACCUCGAAAUUCAGCACUGAGAUCUUGCCUUCACCUUCCCUCACCAUCUUCUUCAAUCGAACCACCACGGUCGCCAUCUCUGCUGCCCGACUCUCAGCCUCAGCCACUUCGUGCUGAGCCUUCUCCCUCUCGGCAACCUCCCGAGCAAUCUUCUCCGCAUAAUCAAAGUUAGCAGCGAGAGAUUGCUUCAAACUGCCCGAAGCUUCGGACAACUCAUGCUCCAGUCGGGAUAUCUCCUCGAUGAGGCAGUCUCGGUCCUGAGAACCAAGAUGGACCAUGACCAGGACGCGACACAACAUCUCCACGCUACCCUUCAACAAAUGCGUCAUUGGAAAGGCCCGAAUGACCUCCCAGGUCGGUCCAGGGAACGCAACCUUCACCCCUCGAGAAAAUUGCAUGUCACCCCCAACACCGUCAAGGGUGACAUGGUGACCUCCAAUGCACGUUUGGUUGCGGGAGGGGCGAUUGGUUGGUUGAACUCAUCUGUCGGCGGCGAGUCAACAUCAACAGGGGAGCGGCGAGGAGGAGGUGUCGGCAGGGACCCGGGUGAGCGAGUAGUUGUCGUUAUGUUACUCGACUCCCUUGGCCUCUUCUUGGACUUGCCGGAAGGGCCAACUGACCCCAUACCAGCUCGACUAGCUGACCCCUUACCGGCAUCUAGGGUCUCGACACUGGGUUGACCCUUUCAUUGGGCGACCCUAUCCCUGAAAGUAUCGAGCAUGUCGUUCGCCUGAGGACAAUCCCAAUUCAUGAGUUCUGCAAAGAAAAGCAAAGUGUUAGUUAGAAUCAAAAAUAUCGACCAAGGGUAAAAGAAACUAGCAUACCCUUAAUAGCCGCCCAGCGCAAUGACUUCGCAUGCACGCCAACUAACUUUCGCGUAGGAAGCUUCCUUGGGAGCAUAUCGAAGAGCGAGAGAAUCUCUAGCUCUUCGAUACCCCCGCCCGGUCGAGGCCACUCCUUGAAGUCACGAGGCUUCUUGGUCCAAUACAAGGGAAACCUCGAUCGACCGGUUUCAUCAAAGAAAUAAGACGUCGCCUUUGGCCUGAAUACAAACUUUAAAAAAUAUCUCUUUGAAUUUUUUAUAAGAGGUAGCGAAGGAAUUGAAAAUGACAUUACCCGACCGACUGAUCAGUGAAGGCCACAGAACAGGGUUGGCCGAGUGAGAAGUAUAAUAGCUGAGGGAACAAGAAGGUGUAGGGUGGAAAUGAAGAACGUCACAUAUUAAGUGAAAGGCCUAGAUGAACGCCCAGGUAUUCGGGUGAAGUUGGGUAGGCGCCAGGUUGAGCGUCCGAAGGACACCCAUCGUGAAACUAUCAAAAGGAAGAGAAACAUGCAAGUCUGAUAAAAGACAUGAGUACAUGUAGAAAAAAAGGGGAACUAGUAGCAGGCCGACCCAUGGGCACGUUCUCGGUCUGCAAGCAGGGCUCAACACUAAAGAAACUCGAACGCGCAUCCGCCUUCAGAAUUGUGUACCUCCCUAAAAACUUGGCGACAAAUUCCUCGUUUGAGAAGGUGGAGGCGAUCUCAGUCACCUUAGAAUUUGCCCAACCAAAAUCCAUUCGGGAGAUGACUUGCUAGGGGCAUCCCGACUGGUCGAUAACAUUGGCCGGAUCGUCUCCCCUGACCAUCUCUACAGGGUGCGGUACGUCAACCACACCGACCGAUAAGGAAUCAGUCGUAGAGGAACCGAAAGACAAAUUCGAAGACGAAGAAGAGGGAUGCACGGGAAUAGGAGAAGGAGUAGCCGAAAAAGAAGAAGUAGGCUGAGACAAGGAAGACAUAACUAACCUUAUAAAAAACCGAAACAUCGAAACACAACAAGAAGACGAGGAAACGCUCGGGUCUCAAAGCAAAUAUCAAAGAGAUAGCACAAUAUCUCGGCAUUGUUGGGACCGCUAUUUAUAGCCUCCAAGGACCUCGGGAGACGAAGCGUCACAACGAUCCCAAUGAGUAUAUUUAAAAUUUAUAUAUCUAUAAUAAUAAAUAAAAGAAUUCUCUUACUGUACAUAUUUAAUACUUUAUUUUUAAUUAUAUUUUAAAUCUUUUAAAAAAAUUAUAAUAACAUAUAAAAUGAUACAUAUUUAAUAAUUACAUUAUACUUUUAAUUAUAUUUGAAAAUUAAAAAAUAAAUUAUAUAAAUAUUUAAAAAAUAUCGUAUAAGUUUGCAUGAAGUUAUUAUUAUUAUUAUUUUCAGUGAUAUACGAAGAAUUCUUUCCUUCUUCACCUCAUAACUCUCCUAACAUCAAUGCUUCAAUAAAAAAACUGAAGAUUAAAUUGAACCAAAAUUAAAAAUAUUAAAUAUCUUAUUUCUAUCUUUGAUUAAUCGAUUUUAAAAAAAAAAUGUUUGACAUUUUGAAAUAGUUUAGAUAAAUUUUAAGAUUUGUUUAUAGUGACGCAAAUACUUGUAGUCUUGUCAGUCAUGGUGACGGUAUAUUAUGAAUGAUUGGAUUGACGCGGAUACGAACAUGCAACGAAAGCCGUCUUCAUCAUUAAGAUGUCUCAACUCAUUUUCUUACCCAUCGAUCCUAACACGAACUAACGUCACGCUUUCUGCGAAACUUUCCUCGCCUUUUUUUCGUUCAAUACUUUCUCCUACAUUAUUCACCCUACCCUACAUUUUCAAAUAAACAAUUAUAACCCAAUUUAUAUAAAAUUUUAAAUAUGUUAAUUAUCAAUAAAGUUCAAAAAUAAAUUUAAAGAAAAAGUCACACCAGCUCAAAAACUUAAAUACUGUUCUGGAAUUUAAAGACUGGAAUUUACGUGUCUUUUCUAUAUUUUUCAAUUAUUAAGAUUUCUUUUUAAAAUAGUUUCACUGCUUUUAACAUUCUUUAAAGAACGAUAUAAUAGAUAAAUGGACGGUGAAGGUGAUCAAGUUGAAGAUAUUCAAACUAGUAAAAUAAAAUUUUAAAAAAGUAUUUAUAACUGUUAGAUAAAAAAAAAAGGUGCUUUCAAAAUUAAAUUAAACAGUGUAAACGAGCUAGUAGCAUUUUUAACUUUUGUGCGAGUACAAAAUAUGACAUUAAGGGGGUGUUUGCUUUUGGGGUUGGCACUGUAGGCGCAGACGGAUGUUGGGUGCCACCCCCAUUUGGAUUUGUAGAUGGGUGAGGGUGAGGGUAAGGGUGAGGGUGAGGGUGAGAAGAAAGUUGGCCAAAAUGAGGGUCUUCUCAUAAGUGAAGAGAAAGGAGAGGGUGAGGGAGUGAGUGCCACGUAGGAUAAGAGAAAAGUCAUGUGUGCCCUUCACUUGAAGGUAUCUGGCCAUGCAUGAGGAAGUAUUUUGUUUGAAGCUUUUCAGCAAAAGCAUGCAUGCACAUCAGCAACAAACACAUGAGACAUCUCACAAAACAGAGACAAUUCACUUGUUCACAAAGCUUCUGUGAAUUUAGUUUCGUUACGUCUGCCAUAAUCGAUUAUGUGGAAAAAAAUUUGGUGGGAUAAUCGAUUAUGGUGUUUUUUGCACUUGAAACAUAAUCGAUUAUGUGUGGAUAAUCGAUUAUGCUCACGACAUAUUAUCUGUAAAAAAAAUUGGUGGAAUAAUCGAUUAUGGUGUUUUUUGCACUUGAAGCAUAAUCGAUUAUGUGUGGUAUAUGGAUAAUCGAUUAUGUGGUAAUUUACACAGAGGUGAUAAUCGAUUAUGUUUCUUAAUUUUCCAGAUUUUUGGAUUUCUAUUUUUUGAACUAAUUUUUGAAUGAUUUUUUGGACAAUUUUAUUUUGAAUGAAAUUUGUUUUAAUUAUUUUUAAAGUAUUUGUUAAUUAGUUUAUAAUUUUAGAUGUGAAUGUUUAGGAAAAUUGAUUAUCUAAAAUUGUAUAUUAUUAAUGUAAAAAUUUCAUGAAAUUUGAAUAUGUUAUUUUUGUGAUAUGAAUUGAAUUCAAUUUAUUAUAGAUUGAAAUUAGAGAUCUAUUAUUUUAAAAUGCUUUUAUUAAAAAGAUUAUAAAAAUUAUUGCAGUAAUUUAAAAACGGAAAAAUUAAAUAUACAAAAGAUUUUUUUAAGAUUUAACAAUGUUAAUAAACAAAUAUUGUAUUAAUAAAAAAAAACAGAAAAAGAUUACAUAAUAAAUUAGAAUUUGUAAUAUUAUGUGUACAUAGUUACUAUUUUAUGAACAUUUAAUUCUUUAUAAAAAAAAUAUAUUUAUUUAUUUGAUGAUUAUUUUUACUUAAUGGAAAUAGAAAUUUUGAAUGCUAUAUUUUAUGUUUUUGGAUAUUUUACGUACACAUACCAUAAAAUACAUAUAAUUUAUUUGUCAUAGUUUACAUAAAAAUUAUUUAUUUGAAAAUUAUUAUUUUUAUAGAAUGGAAAUACAAAUUUUGAUUAACUUAAAUAAUGUAAUAGAAAUUAAAUAAUAUAAUACUAAUUAAUUUAAUUAACUUAAAUUUCCUUUAAACUAAUUAAUAUUUUAUUUUCUUAUUUAUUUAUAUAUAAGGGUAAUUUUGUAAUCUUACCAUUUAUACUAUUCAAAAUAUAUUAAAAUACUCUCACAACUAUCAUAUUAUUCACACUUUCCAAUAAACUUUCUUUACACAUCCCUCAAUCCAAACACCCUCAACUUUCUUCACACUUUCUUCACACUUCCACUCACUCACACCCUCAACUUUCCACUCACUUACAACCCCUAAUCCAAACAAAGUCUAGGAAACAAAACUUUUGACUUAGGCUUCCUUUUUUUCUGGAAGCAGAAAGGAGCUGAUUUACUGUUUGUAGGUAAAACACGAAAAACAAAAUAUUAAAUAAUAUAAAACACAAAAAAAAUGAAAAGAAAAACGAAAUAUUAAAUAAUAUAAAACACAAAAAAAAGGAAAAAAAUUUCUGUUUAAAACUUUCUUCACCUGGAGAGAAUUGCAACGAAAGUUACUUUAUAGUUUAGGUUAGUUUUUUUAUUUUAAACUAAAAUUAUUAUUAUUUUUAUUUAAAAUAAGAUUAUAAUUCAAAUAUAAACAUAUAAUUAAAACUGUAAAAAAAUAUUUAUUAUAAAAUAACAUAAUUAAUUAUUUAUAAGAAUAAAUAUAAAUAAUAGUAAUAAAUAUAUAUUUUUAAAUAAAAAUAUAUAUAAUAAUUAUAUUAAUUAUAAAAAAUAAAGAUAAAAAUAAUAAAGUUAUUUAAUUUAUAAAUAAAUCAAUCCAAUUAAUUUUUAAUAAUUUUUUAAUAUAAAAAUAAAUUUGUAAAUUUAUAAUUUUAUCAAUUAAAAAAUAUAAUUUCAAUCACAUCUAUCUCUUCACUCACAAACUUUCAUAAACUUUCUCUACACUUUCUACUCUAUUUACCUUAAUCCAAACAACCUCACUUUCUUCACACUUUUCCUUCAAAUCAUCUCAAAUCGACUUCCUCAUUUCCACUCUCUAAUCCAAACAAAANNNNNNNNNNNNNNNNNNNNNNNNNNNNNNNNNNNNNNNNNNNNNNNNNNNNNNNNNNNNNNNNNNNNNNNNNNNNNNNNNNNNNNNNNNNNNNNNNNNNNNNNNNNNNNNNNNNNNNNNNNNNNNNNNNNNNNNNNNNNNNNNNNNNNNNNNNNNNNNNNNNNNNNNNNNNNNNNNNNNNNNNNNNNNNNNNNNNNNNNNNNNNNNNNNNNNNNNNNNNNNNNNNNNNNNNNNNNNNNNNNNNNNNNNNNNNNNNNNNNNNNNNNNNNNNNNNNNNNNNNNNNNNNNNNNNNNNNNNNNNNNNNNNNNNNNNNNNNNNNNNNNNNNNNNNNNNNNNNNNNNNNNNNNNNNNNNNNNNNNNNNNNNNNNNNNNNNNNNNNNNNNNNNNNNNNNNNNNNNNNNNNNNNNNNNNNNNNNNNNNNNNNNNNNNNNNNNNNNNNNNNNNNNNNNNNNNNNNNNNNNNNNNNNNNNNNNNNNNNNNNNNNNNNNNNNNNNNNNNNNNNNNNNNNNNNNNNNNNNNNNNNNNNNNNNNNNNNNNNNNNNNNNNAAAAAUGAAAAGAUAAAGGGGAAAAACAAUAAAAGAAAAUAUUGUAGUACAGCAGAGCUGCUAUUCUUUCACUCAAUUCAGUGAAUUAGCUUGACUGAAACUGGAUUUGUUUCAAAAAAUAAAGUCCAAAGAAUAUAGUAUGAAUGAUUCAUUGAUAUUUGGUGAUAUACUAAAAUUGUGAUUGAAAUACUGUUGUAGGUGUGGAGUCAGUUUCGGUGGACAUGAAAGACAAGAAAUUGACCUUAACAGGGGACAUUGAUCCAGUACAAGUAGUUGCCAAGCUAAGGAAGUUUUGUCAUACAGAAAUAGUUUCUGUUGGACCGGCAAAAGAGGAAAAGAAGGAAGAACCUAAAAAGGAUGAUAAAAAGAAGGAAGAUGUGAAGAAAGAUUCUGCAAAAGAAAUAGUUGCAGAUCCACUCAAGUUCCAUCAAGCCUAUGCCUAUUAUUAUCAGAUGAAACCACAGUACAAUCCAUAUUACAGUGCUAUAAGUGUGGAAGAGGAUCCUAAUGGCUGUGUCAUUGUCUAAUUUUAUAUUAUUAUAACUAAGUUGGAUUUAAAAAAUGAAUAAAAAGAAAAAUAUUGUAUUUAUUUUUUCCUUGUUUCUUCUAAUGACUUAAACUUAGGGAUAGCUGGCCAAGCCUGUGAGGGUAUUAUGAUGUACGGGAUUAGAUUUUGUUACGUGAAACUUCUGCAGAAUCUUGAUAUCUUAUUUAUAUGUAAGAACCAGAAAAAAAUUGGCAAUUCAGUAAAUUUGAGUGUAUUUUCAAUAUAAGUGUGUAUCAUUCAAUAUUAACAAUUGUGUUAAUGUGUUUCGGUUUACGUAAUUAGAGGACAACAUAAUUUCAAAAUUAUCCUAAUAAAAGUUUCACACAUCUCAAUGACAUGGUUUUAAAGUCCAAAAUUCCAAAAUCAACAAUGAACAUAAAACAUUUAUUUAACAGAGACAUCCAUGUGCCUCUAAUUGAAAUUCUUAAAAUCGACCAUAUUUUCAAAUUUAUAAUAAAAUGGAGUUAUCAAGCACCAAACUCAAUUACGUAGAUUCAGCAUUGGUUAAGAAACCCUUCGUUCUGAUCCAAGAGAAACCUUUGCCAAAAAAAAUGCAUAAAGUGGAGAAUCAGCAAAUGCAAGCUUUCACUGUCACCAAAGAAGAGAGAAAUUCGAAUUUGAGUUUUGUCGUGACACAACAUUAAUAAAGAGGAUGAAGUGAACAAUGUAAAACGGAUUUUUUUACAUUUGAUACCUUAAAUCUAAUAAAAAAGUUAAACUUGAUUUAAAAAAUGUUACGGCGCAUUAUUUUCACUAGUGAUGAUUGAUUUUACAUAAAUUUUGUGUGAUUAUAAUAUUAUAUUAAUUUAAGAUUUAAGACAACCACAUUAUUAUUAUUAUUAUUAUUAUUAUUAUUAUUAUUAUUAUUAUUAUUACAGAAAUGUGGAACUGAAUCUAAUAGCACAUGAUUCUUGGUGCUAUUGUCACUGUGGAGUAGUUCAGUAUCGGCUUUUCUUUCUUGGAUAAAUUAUUUGGAUGGAAUAUUCUUAUACUGGGUUUUAGAAAUAAUUAACUCCUUCUCCUCUCAGCUUCUCAGUCUUUUAUUUUUACUGUUGACUUGGGUUUUCGAUUAUUGGAUUAGCUAGCUCGGACUCUAUUAUAUGGGUUUUAACUUGUUCUCGACUAUUGGAAGCGGACCAUCACUCAACUAUUGGAUAUGGUCAAGUUCUCGGCUUCUAGAUCCAGGAUCACUCAAAUGUGGGUGUGUGUAUCUGCAAUGAUGGUAAAGUGAGAACCAGUUUGUUUGAUUAUCAUAUAAAAACACUCUACCUACCUAUUAAACAUAUUACCUAUUUAUAGUGGUUGUUGUUGAGCUUUAACUUAAUUGAACUUUUACUUUUCACACCUUUCGGCUAUUAAGUAUAAUUUUAGAGUUUUGAAUCUAUUUAUUAGACUGUGAUUGAAUGUUAUUUUAUUCUAUUAUUUAUUUAUAUUAUUUUAACUUUUAAUAUUCUGUUUUUCGAUUUCUUGGCGUAAUUAAUACAAUACUAAAUGAAAACACUUUAUUUUAAAAACAAGUUAAAAUGUGAAUCAUAUUUAUAGAGAUUGAAAAAUAUUUCAUUAUUUGUAAAUAAAAAAUAUGGUUUGAAUCGAACCUGUUUGGUAGCUUUAAAAUACAAAAUGAAGAAAAUUUGAAUGUGGGGCUAACGCGGAGAGGAACGUGGUAGGGAACGUUGGCGUCGUCAUCGACAACUUUCAUCUAUAGUCAACAUAAGGAAUCUUCCAGGAUCCAAACUCGAACUAAUAUUAUCCCUUCUUUUCUUUUCCUUCAAAUUAUUCGGCUUCACUUCACUCUCUCUGUCGCCGCCAUAAACUACUAUAAAUCUUCCUCAACCUUAUCUUCAUUUCACAACUUCAAAUUUCAAAACCAUCUUUUCCUCAUCCACCUAUCUUCUCCUUCACUCUCUACCAAUUUGCACUAACACUCCCUCUUCUAUCUUCACUCUCACAAACUUCAAUAACAAUGAAGGUUAGUGUUCCAAUUUCACCUCUUAAUUCUUCUUAGAUAUUCACACUUCAUACUCCAAGUUCAGUCUCUGUUUUGUUUUGAUCGUUUAUGGUCUAAAUCAACUUCCAAACUUAGAGUGUUGAGUAGUCCUAACAACUGUUUGAUUUUUGCUGUAACAGAAAGUUGUGUUGAAGGUGGAUGUACAUGAAGACAAAAUCAAGCAGAAAGCUAUGAAGGCUGUCUCUGGCAUUUCAGGUAUUCAAUUAAAUUUCAAUUACUGAACUUCCUCAUCUCUUUAUCUUCUCUUCUUUCAAUGCUCUAAUGAAAAAUGAAAAGAUAAAGGGGAAAAACAAUAAAAGAAAAUAUUGUAAUACAGCAGAGCUGCUAUUCUUUCACUCAAUUCAGUGAAUUAGCUUGACUGAAACUGGUUUUUGUUUCAAAAAAUAAAGUCCAAAGAAUAUAGUAUGAAUGAUUCAUUGAUAUUUGGUGAUAUACUAAAAUUGUGAUUGAAAUACUGUUGUAGGUGUGGAGUCAGUUUCGGUGGACAUGAAAGACAAGAAAUUGACCUUAACAGGGGACAUUGAUCCUGUACAAGUAGUUGCCAAGCUAAGGAAGUUUUGUCACACAGAAAUAGUUUCUGUUGGACCGGCAAAAGAGGAAAAGAAGGAAGAACCUAAAAAGGAUGAUAAAAAGAAGGAAGAUGUGAAGAAAGAUUCUGCAAAAGAAAUGGUUGUAGAUCCACUCAAGUUCCAUGAAGCAUAUCCAUAUUAUUAUCAGAUGAAACCACAAUACAAUCCAUAUUACAGUGCCGUAAGUGUGGAAGAGGAUCCUAAUGGCUGUGUCAUUGUCUAAUUUUAUUAUAAAUAAGUUGGAUUUAAAAAGUGAAUACAAAAGAAAAAUAUUGUAUUUAU